Carica papaya (papaya) is the source of this 633-nucleotide non-coding RNA. The record is from RefSeq and is a predicted model, not a curated record. NCBI's taxonomy places the organism in Eukaryota, Viridiplantae, Streptophyta, Magnoliopsida, Brassicales, Caricaceae.
GUUAGACUCGCGAUCUUUAUCUCGUUACAAAAUUACAGAGCUGAAAUUAUCUACUCCAUUUUAAUCCCUUUCUCAUUCGUCUUCCCUGUCGCCUGUUCUCUAUCAAAUCAAUUUGUGGUUGCAGAUCUUUGACGCCACACAAGAACCAGAAAGAGAGACCCCUCUUUUACAAGCGUUAAUCACAAGUGGGAAGUAGGGAGGAGCCAUGGGCCACCAUCAUCAUCACCACCAUCAUCAUCACCACCACGGCGACAGUCCGUACGAUGAUCCGUUAUUGAGAUGUUGCUGUUGUCCGUGUUUGCUCGUUUCAUCGAUUUUCAUGGGAAUCGGAAGAUGUGUGUUUCUGGCUUGCUAUCCUCUGUUCCGGUGUUUUGGAUUUGACGAAUGGCGCCACCAUCACCAUCAUCAUUGAUACCGCUUAUUUCUUCUCGGAUCUACUUGAUUGCUGAGUCGUUCAUCUUCUUCAGUGUUUGGUUCUCUUUCCUUUAUACUUUACUCUCUGUUCUUUUCUUCAUCUUGAAGCUUUAACCGUUCGUGGAAUUGGAGACUUUGCUGUAAUCAAAGACAUACACAUUGCUAAAAUUUUUCAAUUCGCUGAUGGUGUCUGAUUAAAAUAAUCCUUGGGGUUUCGUA